Molecule: ribosomal RNA, 796 nt
Filed under: uncultured Chloroflexota bacterium
Lineage: Bacteria; Bacillati; Chloroflexota
Description: bacterial SSU rRNA
Rfam family: Bacterial small subunit ribosomal RNA
Source: RNAcentral
GACGUAGGACGCGAGCGUUAUCCGGAUUUACUGGGCGUAAAGCGUCUGUAGGCGGAUGUGUAAGUUGGGCGUGAAAGCUCCGGGCUUAACCCGGAGAGGCCGUUCAAUACUGCAUAACUUGAGGGUGUCAGAGGGGAGCGGAAUUCCCGGUGUAGCGGUAAAAUGCGCAGAGAUCGGGAGGAACACCAGUGGCGGAGGCGGUUCCCUGGGGCACACCUGACGCUGAGAGACGAAAGCUAGGGGAGCGAACAGGAUUAGAGACCCUGGUAGUCCUAGCCCUAAACGAUGAAUGCUAGGUGUGGGAUCGAAUGGUUCCGUGCCGGAGCGAACGCGAUAAGCAUUCCGCCUGGGGAGUACGGCCGCAAGGUUAAAACUCAAACGAAUUGACGGGGCCCCGCACAAGCAGCGGAGCGUGUGGUUUAAUUCGAUGCUACACGAAGAACCUUACCUGGGUUUGACAUGUAGGUGGUAGUGAAUCGAAAGGUGAACGACCCUUCGGGGAGCCUACACAGGUGCUGCAUGGCUGUCGUCAGCUCGUGCCGUGAGGUGUCGGGUUAAGUCCCGUAACGAGCGCAACCCUUGCUCCUAGUUACAAGUGUCUAGGGGGACUGCCGGCGGAAAGCCGGAGGAAGGUGGGGAUGACGUCAAGUCAGCAUGGCCCUUAUAUCCAGGGCUACACACACGCUACAAUGGUCGGUACAAAGGGCAGCGAAACCGCGAGGCGGAGCGAAUCCGAGAAAAGCCGAUCGUAGUUCGGAUAGCAGGCUGCAACCCGCCUGCUUGAAGCUGGAGUUGC